GCCUUCGUGGUGUAGUGGUCAACAAGCUCGGCACGUAUUCGAGAAUGUAUAUUCGUAUAUCGAGAGGUCCGAGGUUCGAAUCCUGGCGAGGACA
Molecule: transfer RNA, 94 nt
Filed under: Stegodyphus mimosarum
Lineage: Eukaryota; Metazoa; Arthropoda; Arachnida; Araneae; Eresidae
Rfam family: tRNA
About the family: Transfer RNA (tRNA) molecules are approximately 80 nucleotides in length. Their secondary structure includes four short double-helical elements and three loops (D, anti-codon, and T loops). Further hydrogen bonds mediate the characteristic L-shaped molecular structure. tRNAs have two regions of fundamental functional importance: the anti-codon, which is responsible for specific mRNA codon recognition, and the 3' end, to which the tRNAs corresponding amino acid is attached (by aminoacyl-tRNA synthetases). tRNAs cope with the degeneracy of the genetic code in two manners: having more than one tRNA (with a specific anti-codon) for a particular amino acid; and 'wobble' base-pairing, i.e. permitting non-standard base-pairing at the 3rd anti-codon position.
Source: Rfam by way of RNAcentral